RNAcentral lists this long non-coding RNA (319 nucleotides) under Vigna radiata. RNAcentral describes it as "long non-coding RNA (VRAD_LNC000375)". The record is from RNAcentral. Lineage: Eukaryota; Viridiplantae; Streptophyta; Magnoliopsida; Fabales; Fabaceae.
UUCAUCCAAAGUCACCAAGCAAUCAACAUGUUUCCAGAGCGUAAAAAAAUGUUCCCCCAGCUCCCAAAAAUAAAGUUGCAGCCUAAUACUUCAUAAAAGUGACGGCUGGCUCAUUGCAAGGGCCGUGUGUCCUCCUAAAUUAGGGUGGGGCCCACUCUAAAAAUAAAAGGAAACCCUAGGGUAAGUAUUCUACAAUUUUGGGCCCCUCAUAAAUUUUUAACAAUGGGCCAAUGUGCAAAGGUUUGUCCAAAAAGUUUAAACAAUAAAAAUUACAAUACAAUGAAAUUUAAAAUGUCUAAUUUGAGAGUCUUCAAUUUAU